Molecule: long non-coding RNA, 1070 nt
Filed under: Zonotrichia albicollis (white-throated sparrow)
Lineage: Eukaryota; Metazoa; Chordata; Aves; Passeriformes; Passerellidae
Description: lncRNA (ENSZALG00000001531.1)
Source: RNAcentral
AUGUUCCGGACGACGAUGUCCCUGCGGUUUGGGAUUUGGGAUUAUGGGAAUUGGGAUAAUGGUAAUUGGGAUUAUGGGAAUUGGGGUUUCGGAUGUGGGAUUUGGGAUAUGGGAUAUGGGAUUUGGGAUGUGGGAUUUGGGAUAUGGGAUAGGGGAUAUGGGAUGAUGGAAGAGCCACCAGGAUGUUCCGGACGGCGAUGUCCCUGCGGUUCGGGAUUUGGGAUUGUGGGAAUUGGGAUUAUGGGAAUUGGGAUGAUGGGAAUUGGGAUUUCGGAUGUGGGAUUUGGGAUAUGGGAUGUGGGAUAUGGGAUGUGGGAUAUGGGAUGUUGGAUAUGGGAUGUGGGAUGUGGGAUAGGGGAUAUGGGAUAGGGGAACUGGGAUUUCGGAUGUGGGAUCUGGGAUUUGGGAUAUGGGAUCCAUGGGAUUUGGGAUCCAUGGGAUAAUGGGAUUAUGGGAAUUGGGAUUGUGGGAAUUGGGAUUUCGGAUGUGGGAUUUGGGAUAUGGGAUAUGGGAUAUGGGAUAUGGGAUAUGGGAUAUGGGAUAUGGGAUAUGGGAUAUGGGAUAUGCAAUGUGGGAUGUGGGAUGUGGGAUAUGGGAUAAUGGGGUAAUGGACAGGGGAGGCCACCAGGAUGUUCCGGACGGCGAUGUCCCUGCGGUUCGGGAUUUGGGAUUGUGGGAAUUGGGAUGAUGGGAAUGAUGGGAUUGUGGGAAUUGGGGUUUCGGAUGUGGGAUUUGGGAUAUGGGAUCCAUGGGAUUUGGGAUUUAGGGUAAUGGGAUAAGGGGAUUUGGGAUGUGAGAUAAUGGGAUAAUGGAGAGGAGAGGCCACCAGGAUGUUCUUGAGGGUGAUGUCCCUGAGAUUUGGGAUCCGUGGGAUUUGGGAUAUGGGAUGUGGGAUUUGGGAUGUGGGAUAUGGGAUGUGGGAUAUGGGAUACGGGAUUUGGGAUAUGGGAUAUGGGAUGUGGGAUAAUGGGAUACGGGAUUUGGGAUAUGGGAUAUGGGAUAUGGGAUGUGGGAUAUGGGAUGUGGGAUUUGGGAUAUGGGAUAUGGGAUAUGGGAUGUGGGAUAUGGGA